Molecule: ribosomal RNA, 460 nt
Filed under: uncultured bacterium
Lineage: Bacteria
Description: partial 16S ribosomal RNA
Rfam family: Bacterial small subunit ribosomal RNA
Source: RNAcentral
CCUACGGGGGGCAGCAGUGAGGAAUAUUGGUCAAUGGACGGGAGUCUGAACCAGCCAAGUAGCGUGAAGGAUGACUGCCCUAUGGGUUGUAAACUUCUUUUAUAUGGGAAUAAAAUGUUCCACGUGUGGGAUUUUGUAUGUACCAUAUGAAUAAGGAUCGGCUAACUCCGUGCCAGCAGCCGCGGUAAUACGGAGGAUCCGAGCGUUAUCCGGAUUUAUUGGGUUUAAAGGGAGCGUAGGUGGAUUGUUAAGUCAGUUGUGAAAGUUUGCGGCUCAACCGUAAAAUUGCAGUUGAAACUGGCAGGCUUGAGUACAGUAGAGGUGGGCGGAAUUCGUGGUGUAGCGGUGAAAUGCUUAGAUAUCACGAAGAACUCCGAUUGCGAAGGCAGCUCACUGGACUGCAACUGACACUGAGGCUCGAAAGUGUGGGUAUCAAACAGGAUUAGAUACCCCAGUAGUC